Marmota monax (woodchuck) is the source of this 423-nucleotide long non-coding RNA. RefSeq lists it as uncharacterized. The record is from RefSeq and is a predicted model, not a curated record. The transcript has 2 exons. Lineage: Eukaryota; Metazoa; Chordata; Mammalia; Rodentia; Sciuridae.
GGGGCGGGGUUACGGCACGGUGGGGGAUCGGCGCGGGACACCCGGGUGGGCGGGGCCACCUUUCUCAGGUGGGUUUCGCCGAAGGCGCAGGUCCUCACCUGGCUGCGGCCGGACGCCAAACCAGAAAAACAAAUGCUGACGGACGUUUCAAUUUUUUGCACAAUCGGUGACUUAAAUAGGACCUAGUCUGGGCGGGGAGACAGAAGGUAAUGGAGAAGACCUCAACUUAAGGAACUUGAGAAUAGCCAGACCACCAUAAACUGUCUUGUGAUCACCACCAGACUGAUGGCAUUCCCUCAUACCUUCCCAUGGCCGUCCCUCACCAAAUUUCCUUUAAAAAAGGAGACCAAGAACCCCCAAAGUCUCUCUUGCUGGUGAAAAAUGUAUUCCUUGCUUUCCUAAAUAAAUUUCUGUGACUCAAUA